RNAcentral lists this transfer RNA (61 nucleotides) under Rhipicephalus maculatus. RNAcentral describes it as "tRNA-Leu". Lineage: Eukaryota; Metazoa; Arthropoda; Arachnida; Ixodida; Ixodidae. The record is from RNAcentral.
UUCAGCUUGGCAGAUAAAUGCGACAAAUUUAGAAUUUGUAUAUGAAAUAUUUCAGUUGAAA